Molecule: ribosomal RNA, 102 nt
Filed under: uncultured bacterium
Lineage: Bacteria
Description: partial 16S ribosomal RNA
Rfam family: Bacterial small subunit ribosomal RNA
Source: RNAcentral
CGGGACGGGACGCCACCGUGGCGACGAUGCGUAGGGGUUCUGAGAGGAAGGUCCCCCACACUGGUACUGAGACACGGACCAGACUCCUACGGAAGGCAGCAG